Myotis lucifugus (little brown bat) is the source of this 362-nucleotide long non-coding RNA. RefSeq lists it as uncharacterized. Lineage: Eukaryota; Metazoa; Chordata; Mammalia; Chiroptera; Vespertilionidae. The transcript is spliced from 2 exons. The record is from RefSeq and is a predicted model, not a curated record.
ACUCUGGAGACUGUAGUCCGCCGCGCGCUCGGGAGCUCCGGGUGGGUCCUGGGGAGUUCUAGGGACCCCCUGGACGGAGCCGUCCUGAGUCUGGGAGACCAGCCGCGCCUUGUGGCGCCCCACGUUUCUCUGCCAACGAGACGGGGAGCGAAUUGGCCUUCCCUGAGCGCGCCCCGAUUGUCGUCCGAGGGCCAAGAAGGCGCUCCCGGACCAGACCCAGAGCCGGCCAGCAUCGGAGCCUGGGAGAAAGGGCCCCUGGGGACUCAUCACAGCUUCACGGUGGAUCUCCAGAUGUGUCUGCAUAUUAAGUUAAAAGCUUCUGGUUCUUAAUUUCCCGGUUUAAAUAAAGUGUCCUGUAUGCA